CUUGACCGCUGGCGGCAGGCCUAACACAUGCAAGUCGAGCGAGCGGCUGCCGGGUGAGUAAUGUAUGGGGACUGCCCGCAAGAGGGGGAUAAAUACUGGAAACGGUGGCUAAUACCGCAUUCUAUCGGAUACCCCAUAUGGGAUUGGCUAUUAGGUGGGGUAACGGCUGACCUAGGCGACGAUCUCUAGCUGGUCUGAGAGGAUGAUCAGCCAGUCAGAGACUGAGAGAGGGCCCAGGUCCCGAGGGAGUGAGCAGUGGGGAAGAGUGCACGAUGGGCGAAAGCGUGAUGCAGCGAUGACGAGAGUAUUAAGAAGGCCGUAGGGUUGUAAAGUACUUUCAGCGGGGAUGCGUUACCCGCAGAAGAAGUACCGGCUAAGUCCGUGCCAGCAGCCGCGGUAAUAC
This 403-nucleotide ribosomal RNA is filed under the name uncultured bacterium. RNAcentral describes it as "partial 16S ribosomal RNA". It matches the Rfam family "Bacterial small subunit ribosomal RNA", at positions 29 to 526 of the family's 1533-position model. The record is from RNAcentral.